RNAcentral lists this transfer RNA (72 nucleotides) under Camelus bactrianus (Bactrian camel). It matches the Rfam family "tRNA". Rfam says of the family: Transfer RNA (tRNA) molecules are approximately 80 nucleotides in length. Their secondary structure includes four short double-helical elements and three loops (D, anti-codon, and T loops). The record is from Rfam by way of RNAcentral. Lineage: Eukaryota; Metazoa; Chordata; Mammalia; Artiodactyla; Camelidae. RNAcentral also lists the same sequence under 2 other names.
GAGUGUAUAGCUCAUUGGUAGAGCGCAUGCUUGGCAUGCAGGAGGUCCUGGGUUCAAUUCCUAGUACCUGCA